This 453-nucleotide ribosomal RNA is filed under the name uncultured Enterobacteriaceae bacterium. Its description in RNAcentral is "bacterial SSU rRNA". It matches the Rfam family "Bacterial small subunit ribosomal RNA", at positions 939 to 1382 of the family's 1533-position model. Lineage: Bacteria; Pseudomonadati; Pseudomonadota; Gammaproteobacteria; Enterobacterales; Enterobacteriaceae. The record is from RNAcentral.
ACGUGGUUUAAUUCGAUGCAAACCGAAGAACCUUACCUGGGUUUUGACAUGUGCGUGUUACUGAGGUGAAAGCCGAGGGACCAUAUCUUCGGAUGUGGAGCGUACACAGGUGCUGCAUGGCUGUCGUCAGCUCGUGUUGUGAAAUGUUGGGUUAAGUCCCGCAACGAGCGCAACCCUUAUCCUUUGUUGCCAGCGGUCCGGCCGGGAACUCAAAGGAGACUGCCAGUGGUAAACUGGAGGAAGGUGGGGAUGACGUCAAGUCAUCAUGGCCCUUACGACCAGGGCUACACACGUGCUACAAUGGCGCAUACAAAGAGAAGCGACCUCGCGAGAGCAAGCGGACCUCAUAAAGUGCGUCGUAGUCCGGAUUGGAGUCUGCAACUCGACUCCAUGAAGCCGGAAUCGCUAGUAAUCGUGGAUCAGCAUGCCACGGUGAAUACGUUCCCGGGCCUU